UACAUGUGGGGCAAGCGUUGUUCGGAAUUACUGGGCAUAAAGGGUGCGUAGGCGGUUUGUUAAGUCACUGGUGAAAGUUUUCGGCCCAACCGGAAAAUUGCCUGUGAUACUGGCGAACUUGAGUGCGUGAGGGGUGGGGGGAACGAGCAGUGUAGCGGUGAAAUGCGUAGAUAUCAGGAGGAACACCGGUGGCGAAGGCGGGUCUCUGGGCCGAUACUGACGCUGAGGAGCGAAAGCGUGGGGAGCGAACAGG
Molecule: ribosomal RNA, 253 nt
Filed under: uncultured bacterium
Lineage: Bacteria
Description: partial 16S ribosomal RNA
Rfam family: Bacterial small subunit ribosomal RNA
Source: RNAcentral